Molecule: unclassified non-coding RNA, 271 nt
Organism: Bison bison bison
Lineage: Eukaryota; Metazoa; Chordata; Mammalia; Artiodactyla; Bovidae
Source: Ensembl
UGGGGCUCAUUAGGCAGAGCGGGGUGCCGAGAGGUGUGCGCCGCCAGCCGGGAGGCCGCCUUUGAGCGGUCGGGGCGGCUUCAUUAAGCGGCGCUAACAAGGCAUACAAAUGCCGGGCCCAGCAGCUUUCUUGCAAUGUCGGGGCCUUAGCAGGGCGCCAGGCUAAUGAGGGUCACUCAAAGGGGCUGAUCAAAUAUUCAAAUUUCCCCGCACGCCGGGAACUUUUAUGUAUGGAGAAAGUUGAGGCAACUGAGCUGUGUUUACUGUCCUG